UGAACUACCUUAUGAUGUGAUACACUCUCUCCAAAUCUCCCUUCACCACCCUGCAGAAAACCCACAGAGGUUGAAGAAAUAGUUACAAUAUCCUGAGGUUUGGGAUAUCCUGCAGCUUUUCAGAUGGCACUCAGCAUCUAUAGACAUGGCAACUAUAUUCAGCCUUGUAGUGUCAAACUGUACCCUACCUUCUGACUCCAUAAUGCUUGUGGUAUUGGCAGCCCAGCUGGAAGGAAGGAAACUGGUGAUGCUUUGUAUCCUGAAGCUGGAAAGGAAAACAAAUACAGAGCAACUCCUCCUCCAACACAGAGAAGUGAUGCUUUCCAGCUCUUCUAUUAAAUUCAUGGUUGCUGCAGUAAAACAUCUGAGGAAGUGUUCCGCUCAAAAAGUGAAAGCAAUAUACCUGCACUUUAAGGAGCCUUGCCAGGUGAUUAUAUGAUACUUUGCCAAUACUUUGGAAUAGACAGCCUCUCUCCUCUGUUCAUAUUUGAACAUCUGGGUAUGAAUGCAAUGCAAAUGUUGCUCUUCUUUGGCUGUCUUAAUAAUUUCUGGAGUCUAAAGAUGCUGUAUUUCUCCAUGUGUAUUAGCUGCUGGUUGCAGUGACCAAAUGCUUUGCCUGUUAAAAUUACCUUAUACCUUUCUACCAGCAGGAUAUAUCAAGGCUUAGAGAUACUCAUUGGAGAGUUACCUACUUCUGAAUACAAUAAAGAUGUUCUAUUAGAAGAUACAGACACACUUACUUCAGAAAGAAAUUCUUGCUUCUUAUUUUGUUUUUCUUUUCUGAGUUAAAACCUUUU
Non-coding RNA from Phalacrocorax carbo (great cormorant), 797 nucleotides. NCBI's taxonomy places the organism in Eukaryota, Metazoa, Chordata, Aves, Suliformes, Phalacrocoracidae. The record is from RefSeq and is a predicted model, not a curated record.